RNAcentral lists this long non-coding RNA (2833 nucleotides) under Haliotis rufescens (red abalone). RNAcentral's name for it is "uncharacterized LOC125374517". The record is from RNAcentral. Lineage: Eukaryota; Metazoa; Mollusca; Gastropoda; Lepetellida; Haliotidae.
AUAAAAACAGAUCUUUUAACUUCCCCAUUAAGGUAGCGAGAGGCAUGUAUGUUUUAAUUUUCUAUUUGCACUGUAUUCCUGUUUUCCCAAAGGGAAGUGAUGUGACUAAACCAGAUAUUUUAACUUUCGUAUUAAUGUAGCUAGAGGCAUGUAUGUUUCAAUUUUCUAGUUGCACUGUAUUCUUGUUUUCCCCAAGGGAAGUGAUGUGACUAAACCAGAUAUUUUAACUUUCGUAUUAAUGUAGCUAGAGGCAUGUAUGUUUCCAUUUUCUAGUUGCACUGGAAGGUUGUCUUUCCCCAAAGGGAUGUGAUGUAAUUAUACCAGAUCAUAUAAGUUUCUUAUUAAAGUACCUAGAGGCAUGUAUGUUUCAAUGUUCUAGUUGCACUGUAUUCUUGUUUUUCCCAAGGCAAGUGAUGUGAUUCAACCAGAUCUUAUAACUUUCUUAUUAAGGUACCUAUUAAAACAGAUCUUUUAACAUCCCCAUUAAAGUAGCUAGAGGCAUGUAUGUUUCAAUUUUCUAGUUGCACUGGACGGUUGUAUUUCCCCAAAGGGAAGUGAUGUAAUUAUACCAGAUCUUAUAACUUUCUUAUUAAGGUAGCUAGAGGCAUGUAUGUUUCAAUUCUCUAGUUGCGCUGUAUUCUUGUUUUCUCCAAGGGAAGUGAUGUGACUAAACCAGAUAUUUUAACUUUCAUAUUAAGGUAGCUAGAGGCAUGUAUGUUUCAAUUUUCUAGUUGCACUGGACAGUUGUAUUUCCCCAAAAGGAAGUGAUGUAAUUAAACCAGAUCUUAUAGCUUUCUUGUUAAGGUAGCUAGAGGCAUUUAUGUUUCAAUUUUCUAGUUGCACUGUAUUCUUGUUUUCCCCAAAGGAAGUGAUGUGACUAAACCGGAUAUUUUAACUUUCAUAUUAAUGUAGCUAGAGGCGCCAGCAUGUAUGUUUCAAUUUUCUAUUUGCACCGGAGGGGGUUGUAUUUCCCCAAAGGGAAGUGAUGUAAUUCAACUAGAUCUUAUAACUUUCUUAUUAAGGUAGCUAGAGGCAUGUAUGUUUCAAUUUUCUAGUUGCACUGUAUUCUUGUUUUUCCCAAGGGAAGUGAUGUGACUAAACCAGAUAUUUUACGUUGAUAUUAAUGUAGCUAGAGGCAUAUAUGUUUCAAUUUUCUAGUUGCACUGGACGGGGUUGUAUUUCCCCAAAGGCAAGUGAUGUAAUUAAACCAGAUCUUAUAACUUUCUUGUUAAGGUAGCUAGAGGCAUGUAUGUUUCAACUUUCUAGUUGAGCUGGAUUGUUUGUUCCCCAAAAUAGAGAUCAUAUAAUUAUGCCAUUGCUUAUGACUUUCUUAUUAAGGUUGCUAGAGACAUGUAUAUUUAAAUUUGCUUGUUCCACUGGAUUGUUGUAUUUCCCCAAAGGGAAGUGAUGUAAUUAUACCAGAUCUUAUAACUUUCUUAUUAAGGUAUUUAGAGGCAUGUAUGUUUCAAUUUUCUAGUUGCACUGUAUUCUUGUUUUCCUAAAAGGGAUGUGAUGUAAUUAUACCAGAUCUUAUAAGUUUCUUAUUAAAGUAUCUAAAGGCAUGUAUGUUUCAAUUUUCUAGUUGCACUGUAUUCUUGUUUUCUUAAAAGGGAUGUGAUGUAAUGAUACCAUAUCUUAUAAGUUUCUUAUUAAAGUAUCUAGAGGCAUGUAUGUUUUAAUUUUCUAGUUGCACUGUAUUCUUGUUUUCCCAAAGGCAAGUGGUGUGAUUCAACCAGAUCUUAUAACUUUCUUAUUAAGGUAGCUAGAGGCAUGUAUGUUUCAAUUUUCUAGUUGCACUGUAUUCUUGUUUUCCCCAAGGGAAGUGAUUUGACUAAACCAGAUAUUUUAACUUUCUUAUUAAGGUAGCUAGAGGCAUGUAUGUUUCAAUUGUCUAGUUUCACUGUAUUCUUGUUUUCCCCAAGGCAAGUGAUGUGAUAAACCAGAUCUUAGAACUUUCAUAUUAAGGUAGCUAGAGGCAGGCAUGUUUCAAUGUUCUAGUUGCACUUGACGGUUGUAUUUCCCAAAAUGGAAAUGAUGUAAUUUAACCAGUACUUAUGACUCUCUUAUUAAGGUAGAUGGAGAUAUUGAGUUUUCAUUUUCCUAGUUGCACUUUAUUGUUCUUGUCUUAACCAACUAGAAAUGAUGUAAUUAAAACGGAAGUCCUUACACCUUUGUUAUUAAGGAUGCUGUUGCCAAGUUAUACUGCUUUAAGUAUUUUUUUUGUUCUAAAUCCAGAAGAGAUGUCAUUAAACCAGACAUGCUUACCAAAUGUUCUUAGGACAGAUAGGCUCAGGACUGAAUAAGACAUGCUGGACCAAGCAUUUCUACAGCUGUGUAUCAAUGGGGACCUUCUGCUACCCCCAUUGUCAUUUAUCCACUGUAUUAUAUCUCCAUUCUAUAAUGAUAAAUACCCUGCACCCAUUUGCUGAUAAAAGGUCAUCCUGAGACCUACUUGAAUGGCACAAAGAUGAAAUUAGACAUCCGACCAAAUACCUCUCAUGUGACAUUUAGUGUCGAGUAAGAGAUGCAGGAAGACGCAGGUAUUUACAGAAUGGACAUGUGAUGUACUGGAUAAUCGAGUUUGCUGUCACCCCAUUUCUGGACAUUCAGGAAAUGGUGGGAAAUGGACUGCUUCUGUUGUUACAUGUAAAGCAGAACCCUUCCUAGUUACUUUCAGUCUAAGAUAACCAGCCCUCCCAUAAUCAGCUGUGUCUCUGUAGCUUCUACGUUAUGUUCACUGACUUUGCAUCACAAAUAUCACAACUAAGAGUUUGUUGUUGUGUAGUCUUUUAUUGUUUCUCUUGAUAAAUAAAAUAUUUCAUAAAAAUACAAA